CAGUACCACUCGACGGAGAAGCACGAUGACAGCGAUACGUUGGGCGAAAUCGGAGAAAAGGCAAGAACAACAGCGGAGGAGUUCCUGAAGAUGGCCAAGGAGAAGACCGACGAUGUCGCCGAGGGCGCAAAGGAGAUGGUGUAGGAGACCAAGGAGGCGGUGCUCGACGAGUCGGACGACGAGUAAGACAAGUUCAAGCAGCGGGUCGAGCAGGGGAGGUACGAUCAGAAAUAA
RNAcentral lists this ribosomal RNA (234 nucleotides) under Triticum aestivum (bread wheat). RNAcentral's name for it is "partial small subunit ribosomal RNA". The record is from RNAcentral. Lineage: Eukaryota; Viridiplantae; Streptophyta; Magnoliopsida; Poales; Poaceae.